UACGGAGGAUGCGAGCGUUAUCCGGAUUUAUUGGGUUUAAAGGGUGCGUAGGCGGGCUUUUAAGUCAGCGGUAAAAAUUCGGAGCUCAACCCCGUCCGGCCGUUGAAACUGGGGGCCUUGAGUGGGCGAGAAGAAGGCGGAAUGCGUGGUGUAGCGGUGAAAUGCAUAGAUAUCACGCAGAACCCCGAUUGCGAAGGCAGCCUUCCGGCGCCCUACUGACGCUGAGGCACGAAAGUGCGGGGAUCGAACAGG
RNAcentral lists this ribosomal RNA (252 nucleotides) under uncultured bacterium. RNAcentral describes it as "partial 16S ribosomal RNA". It matches the Rfam family "Bacterial small subunit ribosomal RNA", at positions 524 to 776 of the family's 1533-position model. The record is from RNAcentral.